UGGCUGCCUGGGCCUCGGCGUGGGUCUGGAACUUCACGAAGGCGCAGCCUGGAGAUGGAGGGAAAAGGGACUCUGCGCUUCAGCUUCUCCAAGGCCUGGGCCUGAAGCGGGAGCAGGGGGACCAGGUCCGAAGGCACAGAACCUACCUCCUCGACUCUCGCUGUCGGCGGGCUUGACCUGGAUCGGCCUGUUCAUCUACAGGAGAGAAGAGAAGGCAGCUGCUUGGUCCUGAACACCCGAGAGCCCUGCCCAGUGAGAAUGGAGAAAUUCCCAGUUUCACUCUCCAUCUGCUGCUUGGUGAGAAGACUUGGAUGUCACUCCCACAGUGCCAUCACCAAAGCCACCGGGAGAUUCCCUCACGGGCCCCGCCCCGCUCUGCUCUGCGAGGAGGAGGAAGAGCCAGGGACGCUGUGCCGAGCACUGACCCCUUCCCAACAGGCCCCUGGGGAUUUGCUGUUCUGGGCAGAGAUGGGGAACCUGAGGCCCAGAGAGAAAGGAUGCGGUUCCCUCCCUGGACAGGCCUCCAGGCACAAAAAUAGCAGAGCAAUAAAUACCCACAGUGAUGUGGAUGUGCACAAAGACACACACAAAUGCAGACCACAGAGCGCCGCGGUGAUGGAAGGCUCCCUGAGUGCCCCCCAGCCCCAGCCACCUCCUCCCUGGCCUGGCACUUCCUGUGGGAAGCCCAGGCUUUGUUAGCUCAACUCUGCACACCUGCCCCCUCCCCUGAGUCCAGCUGUGCUCUGUUUACCUGGCAACCGAGCACAGCCGCACCUCUGCUCUUUCCUAGCUACCACUCGCCAGGUGAUAAGCCCUCCCCAGGGCCUCCCAAAGAAGAAGGGGCUAUUUAUACCCCAAGCAAGGAUCCCCCCACUGCUCCAUCACCCGGGUCACUUUGAAGGCCCAUCCUCACCAGCAGAAAAGACUGCACUUCCCAGAGGCGCUCAAUGUCCCCGAAGAAUCUGGGGCCCUGCCACUCCUGGCUGCAUUCCUAUUACCUGUGACCCAGACCACAGGCAAGUGGGGCUGGAGCCCACCUUCCCAGCUGAGCAGGCUCGACAGAGGUGUCCCUCAGCCCCCCACACCCUGGAAGCCACACCCUGCUCACAGGACAGAUCCAAGGACCUGUGGCAGAGCCACCCCGGGAGAGAAGAGGAAGUGGGGUUCAACGGUCACAGGCCAAGCCCCACUCUCUCUGAGCACCCA
Non-coding RNA from Heterocephalus glaber (naked mole-rat), 1206 nucleotides. The record is from RefSeq and is a predicted model, not a curated record. NCBI's taxonomy places the organism in Eukaryota, Metazoa, Chordata, Mammalia, Rodentia, Bathyergidae.